Molecule: long non-coding RNA, 360 nt
Filed under: Cricetulus griseus (Chinese hamster)
Lineage: Eukaryota; Metazoa; Chordata; Mammalia; Rodentia; Cricetidae
Description: lncRNA (ENSCGRG00015030855.1)
Source: RNAcentral
CUGGGUUGCAGAGCAUCAGAAGGGCAGAGACUGUAUCUUCUGGAGCAGGAAGACCGAAACAUCUAUUUACUCUUAUAUAUAGUCAUGGAUAGCAGCAUGGUGCCAAAUUGAAUUGAAUGCUGGCUUCCCUCCCAGGCUGGUCUCCAUCACUGCCCUCUGGACAGAGUCACUGCUGCUCAGGACACAAGAAGGUCACCUGUUUGUCACAGGGGAAGGUGGGGAGGGAAUGUGAUGACCAUUAGCAGAGUUUUAGGAUAAAGCUGGGGUGAAUUAGGAUCAGUUUGGCUACCUGUCUCGACAUGGCAAUUAGAAAGCAGAAUGGACAAAGCCAUAGUCAGUCACUGAGGCCACCCUAGAAAG